GCUUCAAUUAUUAAGGAUUUUCGUCCAAUAAGUUUGGUUAGUAGUGUUUAUAAGAUUAUUUCGAAGGUUCUUGCCAACCAGCUUAGUCCAGUGUUGGAAAAUAUUAUAUCCAAGCCUCAGAAUGCUUUCAUUCGUGGGAGACAUAUUCUUGAUUCGGCGCUCAUAGCAAAUGAGAGCCUCAAUGCUAGAUUGCGGGAGGGAAGCCCAGGUAUUCUCUGCAAGCUGGACAUGGAGAAGGCUUAUGAUUAUAUGAAUUGAGAAUUCCUCUUGUACCUGCUUGAGAGGUGUGGCUUUGGAAAUAGGUGAAUUUCUUGGAUGAGGCAUUGUAUUUCAACUGCUUGAUUCUCAGUUUUAGUUAAUGGCACUCCUGCUGGUUUUUUUGAUAGCUCGAGGGGUUUGCGACAGGGAGAUCCGUUAUCUCCUCUUCUAUUUGUUAUCGUUAUGGAGGCAUUGAGUAGGAUGGUGCAGACUACUGUUGAUGGGGGUCUUUUAUCAGGUUUUAUGGUGGGAAAUGGCUCUGGUGGCCCAUUUAUCAUCUCACAUCUUCUUUUUGCAGAUGACACUCUGGUAUUCUGCUAAGCGGAUAGCAGUCAGGUCCAAACUCUAAGAGCAUUGUUACUUUGUUUCGAAGCAGUGUUAGGGCUUAAGGUGAACCUUAGCAAAUCUGAGAUGGUACCGGUGGGUGAGGUUUCUAAUAUCCGCAGUCUAGCAAGUCUUUUGGAUUGCAGGGUUUCCUUUUUUCCAAUGAAAUAUUUGGGCCUUCCGUUAGGAGCAUCUUUCAAGAGUAGAGCUAUUUGGGAUGGGGUGGUGGAGAAGAUAAAGAAAAGGCUGGCGGGAUGGAAAAUUGUGUAUUUAUCAAAAGGGGGGCAUCUUACUCUUAUCAAGAGCACACUCACUAACGUACCCACAUAUUUCUUAUCUCUUUUUCCUAUGCCUGCAGGGAUGGCGAAUAAGAUUGAGAAACUUUUUAGGGCAUUCUUAUGGGGAGGCCUAGGGGAGGAGAAGAAAUUCCACCUAGUUAGUUGGAAGACGGUAUGUGCUCCAAUUGUGAAUGGUGGGUUGGGUGUUUGCAACUUGAGAACCUUUAAUAAAGCACUAUUGGGGAAAUGCCUUUGGAGAUAUCAUCAGGAGGGGGGAGCAUUGUGGAAGGAAACUGUAGACGCGAGAUAUAGUAUUGCAUGGGGCAGAUGGUGUUCCAACGAAAUGAAAGGGGGGUAUGGAGUGAGGUUAUGGAAGUAUAUAAGGAAGGGGUGGAUAUGUUUUAAAAAUCAUAUUCGCUUUGUAGCCGGUGAGGGUAACCAAAUCCGUUUUUGGCGAGAAGUGUGGUGUGGAGAUUAGACUUUGGAAAGGGUUUUUCCGGCUUUAUAUCGUAUUGCAGCUAAUAGGGAGGUUUCAGUGGCUGAUGUUCAGUUAUUUUCUCAUGGUUUGCAUCAGUGGAAUAUUCUGCUUAAUAGGGAUUUUCAAAAUUGGGAACUAGAUAUGGUUACUGACUUUUUCAGCCUAUUACAUUCCUUGGAGACUACUAGGGCACAACAUGAUAGCUUGAAGUGGAGGUCUAAGGAUCAUAAGUUAUGUACUGUUAAGGUGUAUUAUAACCUUUUGAUAACACAGGACCAUACUCCAUUCCCUUGGAAGAACAUCUGGAGAUCUCAUGUACCUUCCAAAGUUGCUUUCUUUGUUUGAAAUGCCGCCCUUGAGAAGAUCUUGACCACCGACAAUUUGAGGAAGAGAGAAUGUGUUGUGAUGGAUUGGUGCUACAUGUGCAAAAAGAAUAGAGAAUCGGUGGAUCAUCUUUUACUACAUUGUGAGGUAACAAGUGUGUUGUGGGAUGAGAUCUUUCGGAGGGUUGGUGUCGCUUGGGUAAUGCCUUUGAGGGUAGUGGAUUUGAUGGGCUGUUGGAGGAAAUUGCAGGGUUGUCGUCAAGUGACAACAGUAUGGAAUAUGAUUCCGUUGUGUAUCAUGUGGUGCACUUGGAUGGAAAGGAAUGCGCCCUGUUUUGAAGACAAGGAACGCACAGUGGUGGAGCUGAAGAAUUUCUUUCUAAAUACCUUAUUGCUUUGGUUUUCUGCUAUUGUUUUAGUUGGGGAUAAUAUUCAUGACUUCUUGUCUUUAGUUCAUCGCUCUUAGAAUGUAUUUAGGUGUUCUAUUGUAUACUUCUUGUGUACAUAGCUUAGGCCUUUUUCAUUAAUAAAAUUUAUCUCUUACAUA
Juglans microcarpa x Juglans regia is the source of this 2208-nucleotide long non-coding RNA. RefSeq lists it as uncharacterized. The record is from RefSeq and is a predicted model, not a curated record. Lineage: Eukaryota; Viridiplantae; Streptophyta; Magnoliopsida; Fagales; Juglandaceae. The transcript has 2 exons.